Molecule: ribosomal RNA, 767 nt
Filed under: uncultured bacterium
Lineage: Bacteria
Description: bacterial SSU rRNA
Rfam family: Bacterial small subunit ribosomal RNA
Source: RNAcentral
AGAGUUUGAUCCUGGCUCAGGAUAAACGCUGGCGGCGUGCUUUAUGCAUGCAAGUCGAACGGUUCUUCCCGCAAGGGAAGGAUAGUGGCAAACGGGUGAGUAACACAUAAGUAAUCUGCCCCUAAGUAGGGGAUAACUCUGAGAAAUUGGAGCUAAUACCGUAUGUGGUGAUGGGGGUAAUGCUCUAUUACUAAAGCCUUUGGGCGCUUAGGGAGGAGCUUGUGUCCGAUUAGCUAGUUGGUAGGGUAAUGGCCUACCAAGGCUUUGAUCGGUAGCCGGCCUGAGAGGGCACACGGCCACACUGGCACUGAAACACGGGCCAGACUCCUACGGGAGGCAGCAGUGGGGAAUCUUGCACAAUGGGGGAAACCCUGAUGCAGCGACGCCGCGUGAGCGAUGAAGCCCUUCGGGGUGUAAAGCUCUUUCGGCAGGAACGAUAAUGACGGUACCUGCAGAAGAAGCUGCGGCUAACUACGUGCCAGCAGCCGCGGUAAUACGUAGGCAGCAAGCGUUGUUCGGAGUUACUGGGCGUAAAGAGUGUGUAGGCGGUUCUCUAAGUUUGGUGUGAAAUCUCCCGGCUUAACUGGGAGGGUGCGCCGAAAACUGGAGGGCUUGAGUGCGGGAGAGGAGAGCGGAAUUCCUGGUGUAGCGGUGAAAUGCGUAGAUAUCAGGAGGAACACCUGCGGUGUAGACGGCUCUCUGGACCGCCACUGACGCUGAGACACGAAAGCGUGGGUAGCAAACAGGAUUAGAUACCCUGGUAGUCC